GAUUGAACGCUGGCGGCAGGCCUAACACAUGCAAGUCGAACGGUAACAGGAAGAAGCUUGCUUCUUUGCUGACGAGUGGCGGACGGGUGAGUAAUGUCUGGGAAACUGCCUGAUGGAGGGGGAUAACUACUGGAAACGGUAGCUAAUACCGCAUAACGUCGCAAGACCAAAGAGGGGGACCUUCGGGCCUCUUGCCAUCGGAUGUGCCCAGAUGGGAUUAGCUAGUAGGUGGGGUAACGGCUCACCUAGGCGACGAUCCCUAGCUGGUCUGAGAGGAUGACCAGCCACACUGGAACUGAGACACGGUCCAGACUCCUACGGGAGGCAGCAGUGGGGAAUAUUGCACAAUGGGCGCAGGCCUGAUGCAGCCAUGCCGCGUGUAUGAAGAAGGCCUUCGGGUUGUAAAGUACUUUCAGCGGGGAGGAAGGGAGUAAAGUUAAUACCUUUGCUCAUUGACGUUACCCGCAGAAGAAGCACCGGCUA
This 483-nucleotide ribosomal RNA is filed under the name uncultured Escherichia sp. RNAcentral describes it as "bacterial SSU rRNA". It matches the Rfam family "Bacterial small subunit ribosomal RNA", at positions 27 to 499 of the family's 1533-position model. The record is from RNAcentral. Lineage: Bacteria; Pseudomonadati; Pseudomonadota; Gammaproteobacteria; Enterobacterales; Enterobacteriaceae.